RNAcentral lists this ribosomal RNA (425 nucleotides) under uncultured bacterium. Its description in RNAcentral is "partial 16S ribosomal RNA". It matches the Rfam family "Bacterial small subunit ribosomal RNA", at positions 354 to 796 of the family's 1533-position model. The record is from RNAcentral.
GUGGGGAAUCUUAGACAAUGGGCGCAAGCCUGAUCUAGCCAUGCCGCGUGAGCGAUGAAGGCCUUAGGGUUGUAAAGCUCUUUCGUGGGGGAAGAUAAUGACUGUACCCCAAGAAGAAGCCCCGGCUAACUCCGUGCCAGCAGCCGCGGUAAUACGGAGGGGGCUAGCGUUGUUCGGAAUUACUGGGCGGAAAGCGCACGUAGGCGGACUGGAAAGUCAGGGGUGAAAUCCCGGGGCUCAACCCCGGAACUGCCUUUGAGACUCCUGGUCUUGAGGUCGAGAGAGGUGGGUGGAAUUCCGAGUGUAGAGGUGAAAUUCGUAGAUAUUCGGAGGAACACCAGUGGCGAAGGCGGCCCACUGGCUCGAUACUGACGCUGAGGUGCGAAAGCGUGGGGAGCAAACAGGAUUAGAAACCCCGGUAGUCC